This 594-nucleotide ribosomal RNA is filed under the name Trichoderma koningiopsis. RNAcentral's name for it is "eukaryotic LSU rRNA". The stretch from base 218 to 371 matches the Rfam family "5.8S ribosomal RNA". Lineage: Eukaryota; Fungi; Ascomycota; Sordariomycetes; Hypocreales; Hypocreaceae. The record is from RNAcentral.
AUCGUCUCGUUGGUGACCAGCGGAGGGUCAUUACCGAGUUUACAACUCCCAAACCCAAUGUGAACCAUACCAAACUGUUGCCUCGGCGGGGUCACGCCCCGGGUGCGUCGCAGCCCCGGAACCAGGCGCCCGCCGGAGGGACCAACCAAACUCUUUCUGUAGUCCCCUCGCGGACGUUAUUUCUUACAGCUCUGAGCAAAAAUUCAAAAUGAAUCAAAACUUUCAACAACGGAUCUCUUGGUUCUGGCAUCGAUGAAGAACGCAGCGAAAUGCGAUAAGUAAUGUGAAUUGCAGAAUUCAGUGAAUCAUCGAAUCUUUGAACGCACAUUGCGCCCGCCAGUAUUCUGGCGGGCAUGCCUGUCCGAGCGUCAUUUCAACCCUCGAACCCCUCCGGGGGGUCGGCGUUGGGGAUCGGGAACCCCUAAGACGGGAUCCCGGCCCCGAAAUACAGUGGCGGUCUCGCCGCAGCCUCUCCUGCGCAGUAGUUUGCACAACUCGCACCGGGAGCGCGGCGCGUCCACGUCCGUAAAACACCCAACUUCUGAAAUGUUGACCUCGGAUCAGGUAGGAAUACCCGCUGAACUUAAGCAUUAA